UACGUAGGGGGCAAGCGUUGUCCGGAUUUAUUGGGCGUAAAGAGCGCGUAGGCGGCUUUACAGGUCCGUUGUGAAAACUCGAGGCUCAACCUCGAGACGCCGGUGGAAACCGUAAAGCUAGAGUCCGGAAGAGGAGAGUGGAAUUCCUGGUGUAGCGGUGAAAUGCGCAGAUAUCAGGAGGAACACCCGUGGCGAAAGCGGCUCUCUGGGACGGUACUGACGCUGAGACGCGAAAGCGUGGGGAGCAAACAGG
RNAcentral lists this ribosomal RNA (253 nucleotides) under uncultured bacterium. Its description in RNAcentral is "partial 16S ribosomal RNA". It matches the Rfam family "Bacterial small subunit ribosomal RNA", at positions 524 to 776 of the family's 1533-position model. The record is from RNAcentral.